AGUCGAGCGGUAGAGAGAAGCUUGCUUCUCUUGAGAGCGGCGGACGGGUGAGUAAUGCCUAGGAAUCUGCCUGGUAGUGGGGGAUAACGCUCGGAAACGGACGCUAAUACCGCAUACGUCCUACGGGAGAAAGCAGGGGACCUUCGGGCCUUGCGCUAUCAGAUGAGCCUAGGUCGGAUUAGCUAGUUGGUGGGGUAAUGGCUCACCAAGGCGACGAUCCGUAACUGGUCUGAGAGGAUGAUCAGUCACACUGGAACUGAGACACGGUCCAGACUCCUACGGGAGGCAGCAGUGGGGAAUAUUGGACAAUGGGCGAAAGCCUGAUCCAGCCAUGCCGCGUGUGUGAAGAAGGUCUUCGGAUUGUAAAGCACUUUAAGUUGGGAGGAAGGGCAGUAACCUAAUACGUUGCUGUCUUGACGUUACCGACAGAAUAAGCACCGGCUAACUCUGUGCCAGCAGCCGCGGUAAUACAGAGGGUGCAAGCGUUAAUCGGAAUUACUGGGCGUAAAGCGCGCGUAGGUGGUUUGUUAAGUUGGAUGUGAAAUCCCCGGGCUCAACCUGGGAACUGCAUUCAAAACUGACAAGCUAGAGUAUGGUAGAGGGUGGUGGAAUUUCCUGUGUAGCGGUGAAAUGCGUAGAUAUA
This 643-nucleotide ribosomal RNA is filed under the name Pseudomonas migulae. RNAcentral's name for it is "bacterial SSU rRNA". It matches the Rfam family "Bacterial small subunit ribosomal RNA", at positions 60 to 698 of the family's 1533-position model. Lineage: Bacteria; Pseudomonadati; Pseudomonadota; Gammaproteobacteria; Pseudomonadales; Pseudomonadaceae. The record is from RNAcentral.